CCUACAGUGGCAUGAAUGGCGCGUUGGACUUCUAAUCCAAAGAUCGUGGGUUCGAAUCCCAUCUGGAAUGGA
Trichonephila clavipes is the source of this 72-nucleotide non-coding RNA. The record is from the annotation of a GenBank genome assembly. Lineage: Eukaryota; Metazoa; Arthropoda; Arachnida; Araneae; Nephilidae.